ACUGAAACAUCUAAGUAGCCGGAGGAAGAGAAAGAAACAUCGAUUCCGGGAGUAGCGGCGAGCGAAACCGGAAGAGCCCAAACCAGUGUGCGUGCAUGCUGGGGUUCGGACUGCGUAAGUGACUUCCAAGAGUAAUAGAAUGGUUUUGGGAAAGCCAGCCAGAGAGGGUGAAAGCCCCGUACAUGAAAUUCGAGGAAGCGCGGCAGGAUCCAGAGUACUACGAGACACGU
This 230-nucleotide ribosomal RNA is filed under the name Drancourtella massiliensis. Its description in RNAcentral is "partial 23S ribosomal RNA". It matches the Rfam family "Bacterial large subunit ribosomal RNA", at positions 192 to 427 of the family's 2925-position model. Lineage: Bacteria; Bacillati; Bacillota; Clostridia; Eubacteriales; Oscillospiraceae. The record is from RNAcentral.